CAUUUUGUCAGUUUUGUCAUGAGCCUCAGAACUGUGACAUCACAGUGGUCAGUCACCUUGACUACUGCAGACUCCUCAGACUUCAGUAGUUGGUCUGCCAACUGCUGUAGCUAUCUUUAGUGUUUAGUGCCAAGGAGGAAAGGUAGAAUUGCAAGCCCAUUGAAUGGCUCUCAUUUCAGGCUCUGCUGAAAAGAGAGGAAGAUUAUCAACUGUGAUUCUCUUCCAGACAGGGGAAAGCGCCAUGCCCACUCCUGGGACAUGAAAACCCAUAUACCAUGAGAAUGGGUGGCUUUUGAAAUUCUACCUUCCUGGCAGUGGGGCCAAGUGACUACACUGAUUAUCUUGAUAUCAACAAGGCAGUCCAGGAGCUGCAGUCCCCACAUGUGCCAGGACUAUUCACCCUGAAGCCCAAGGACCCACCCAAACACCAGAGUAGAGAGGCCAUUACCAUGGACUCUGCUGGAGAGGCCAGGUCAAGGCCCCUGACUAUGUCUGUCUGGACACAUCAGCCCCAAACACUGGGCACCUGUUUGGAUAGACCCUCAUGGAUAUUUGUGAAGAUGAUGAGGAGCUACCUGCUCCAAUUCUGGUAUGCAUCAUUUAUUUUUCUUCUGUGACCACAGUAUUCCCAGAGAAUAUAACACUUUCAAAUCCAUCCUCUAAUUGGCAUAACCAUUAGAAAACCCUUGACUAGGGAAGCUAGCAAAAUAUCACUUUUAAAGAAAAAAACUAAUUUAAGUUUUA
Long non-coding RNA from Peromyscus leucopus (white-footed mouse), 744 nucleotides. RefSeq lists it as uncharacterized. NCBI's taxonomy places the organism in Eukaryota, Metazoa, Chordata, Mammalia, Rodentia, Cricetidae. The transcript has 5 exons. The record is from RefSeq and is a predicted model, not a curated record.